ACUGAAAAAAGUGAAACUACUGUGCUGUUCAUUUAAAGUGCAUUUUUACAUUGGACUAAGUGAAAAUCAUGGUUUCUGGUUUAAACCUGUUUUGUUCAGUUUGCCUUAAAGCAAAUAACGAACCCCCUAGAACAAAUUAAAAGCAACAAUUUGACUCGAGUAGUAUUUUUACUUUAAACCAGAAGUUUUCAUGUCAUGUGACCACAUGACGUCACAUCAACUAACUCCUUGUUCGCGCCAGCCAGAGUUUUGCCAUCCGCCAUUAUCGCUUCGAGUGUGAAGACAGUCCGCGGCCCAAGGAAAUCGCUUUUAGACAAGGUUGGAUUUUGUUUCCUGGAAAUUCCAGAAUUUUGCCCUUAUUGCUGAAUUUGGUUGUUCAGAAGGAUGAAGCUGAAGCAGAGCUUCAAAGAUGUACAAUGGCAGUGUAUGUCUUCAAGGAAGAUGAGGAUCCUCUCCAGCCACCACAUCACGUUGGAAUUGUUAUCGAAGGGGUGCAGGUCCUUAAUGACUUGCCAUCAGUCCCACAUGCAUGUGCUAUGUUGUUUGGCCUAAUCUACGUUCUAAAUUUGAGCUA
Long non-coding RNA from Sinocyclocheilus grahami, 574 nucleotides. RefSeq lists it as uncharacterized. Lineage: Eukaryota; Metazoa; Chordata; Actinopteri; Cypriniformes; Cyprinidae. The record is from RefSeq and is a predicted model, not a curated record. The transcript has 3 exons.